This 208-nucleotide unclassified non-coding RNA is filed under the name Hevea brasiliensis (rubber tree). Lineage: Eukaryota; Viridiplantae; Streptophyta; Magnoliopsida; Malpighiales; Euphorbiaceae. The record is from RNAcentral.
AGAAAAGAAAGGAAAAAAAUAUUAAUUUUCCUCCAUGCACAUCUAAUCUCCUAAAAAAGCUGCUCUAUCCUCUGACCACCACCACCCAUCUCCUCGCUCCCCAAAAGGUCAAAGAAAACCCACUCCCCCCCUUCUCUUCAUCUCUGUCUCUUUCAUGGUCUUGAGCCCAUAAAUCAGUUCUAAAACACUCCUUUUUCUCCUAGCAAGC